GAUGAACGCUGGCGGCGUGCUUAACACAUGCAAGUCGAACGAAACACCUUAUUUGAUUUUCUUCGGAACUGAAGAUUUGGUGAUUGAGUGGCGGACGGGUGAGUAACGCGUGGGUAACCUGCCCUGUACAGGGGGAUAACAGUCAGAAAUGACUGCUAAUACCGCAUAAGACCACAGCACCGCAUGGUGCAGGGGUAAAAACUCCGGUGGUACAGGAUGGACCCGCGUCUGAUUAGCUGGUUGGUGAGGUAACGGCUCACCAAGGCGACGAUCAGUAGCCGGCUUGAGAGAGUGCACGGCCACAUUGGGACUGAGACACGGCCCAAACUCCUACGGGAGGCAGCAGUGGGGAAUAUUGCACAAUGGGGGAAACCCUGAUGCAGCGACGCCGCGUGAGUGAAGAAGUAUUUCGGUAUGUAAAGCUCUAUCAGCAGGGAAGAAAAUGACGGUACCUGACUAAGAAGCCCCGGCUAACUACGUG
RNAcentral lists this ribosomal RNA (481 nucleotides) under uncultured bacterium. RNAcentral describes it as "partial 16S ribosomal RNA". It matches the Rfam family "Bacterial small subunit ribosomal RNA", at positions 28 to 507 of the family's 1533-position model. The record is from RNAcentral.